This 253-nucleotide ribosomal RNA is filed under the name uncultured bacterium. Its description in RNAcentral is "partial 16S ribosomal RNA". It matches the Rfam family "Bacterial small subunit ribosomal RNA", at positions 524 to 776 of the family's 1533-position model. The record is from RNAcentral.
UACGUAGGUGGCGAGCGUUAUCCGGAUUUACUGGGUGUAAAGGGUGUGUAGGCGGGACUGCAAGUCAGAUGUGAAAAGUACAGGCUUAACCUGUGACCUGCAUUUGAAACUGUGGUUCUUGAGGGUCGGAGAGGUAACUGGAAUUCCUGGUGUAGCGGUGAAAUGCGUAGAUAUCAGGUGGAACACCGGUGGCGAAGGCGGGUUACUGGACGAUUACUGACGCUGAGACACGAAAGCGUGGGGAGCAAACAGG